GGCUUUCCUCGCUGCUAGAAAAGCAGGCCUAUUAGGAUUGUUGUGCUUAACCAAUUAAUUUGCGGCGAAGAAAAAAAAACACUUUGUGGUUCGGGGUGCUCUUCGCAUAGUUGCAUGAAAAAGGACCAAUUAAAUUAUCAAAGACGAGCCCUCUGCUCCUCCAACAGGGACUCGAGCGGGCCUUUUGAGCGCUGUCUGAGGAGCUCACAGAUACCUUUGCCUAAGACUCAUCUCCUAACCUAAUUAACCAAUCAGAUGGCCUAAAUCCGGCGCUGGCACUUUGGCAGUCGAACCCUGCAGCUGCAGGCACCGCGGCUGGGCACAGCAUGACCCCUGUAGGUCAGAGAUCGCGCCCUACAUCUGACUCGGCUCCACUGCCAAGCCCGCUGCUACUGCCUCUCAGUGACCUCCAGCUGCACCUGCAGAUCCUCUCCACCUCCACCCAUGUGUGUGCCUGAGGGCUUUGUCUCUGCUCCUCUCUAAGCAUUUCCAGGCCAGCACUCCUCCU
This 508-nucleotide long non-coding RNA is filed under the name Astyanax mexicanus (Mexican tetra). RNAcentral describes it as "lncRNA (ENSAMXG00005020692.1)". The record is from RNAcentral. Lineage: Eukaryota; Metazoa; Chordata; Actinopteri; Characiformes; Acestrorhamphidae.